RNAcentral lists this ribosomal RNA (881 nucleotides) under uncultured bacterium. Its description in RNAcentral is "bacterial SSU rRNA". It matches the Rfam family "Bacterial small subunit ribosomal RNA", at positions 90 to 969 of the family's 1533-position model. The record is from RNAcentral.
GGACAGUGGCGGACGGGUGAGUAACACGUAUGGAACCUGGCGUAGGCAGGGGGAUAACACUGGGAAACCAGUGCUAAGACCGCGUACGCUCGCUCUGGGAAGGCGGGGCGAGGAAAAGGACUGGUGAGGAGCCAGUGCUGGCCUAUGAGGGGCAUGCGCCUGAUUAGCUAGUUGGUGGGGUAAGAGCCUACCAAGGCGACGAUCAGUAGCUGGUCUGAGAGGAUGAUCAGCCACACUGGGACUGAGACACGGCCCAGACUCCUACGGGAGGCAGCAGUUAGGGAAUUUUCACACCGGGCGCAAGCCUGAUGGAGUAACGCCGCGUGGGUGAUGACGGCCUUCGGGUUGUAAAGCCCUUUUCUGGGGGACGACAGAAGGACGGUACCCCAGGAAGAAGCCUCGGCUAACUACGUGCCAGCAGCCGCGGUAAUACGUAGGAGGCGAGCGUUGUCCGGAAUUACUGGGCGUAAAGCGCGUGUAGGCGGUCGGAAACGUCGAGGAUGAAAGCCCUCUGCUCAACGGGGGGAGUGUUCACGAAACGGCCCGACUCUGUGGAGUCUGGUAGGGGGGUGCGGAAUGGCCGGUGGAGCGGUGAAAUGCGUAGAGAUCGGUCAGAACACCAGUGGCGAAGGCGGCACCCUGGGCCAGAACUGACGCCGAGGCGCGAAAGCGUGGGGAGCGAACGGAAUUAGAUACUCCGGUAGUCCACGCCCUAAACGAUGCGGACUAGGUGUGGGGGGUAUCGACCCCUCCCGCGCCGCAGCAAACGCAGGAAGUCCGCCGCCUGGGGAGUACGGCCGCAGGGCUAAAACUCAAAGGGAUUGACGGGGGCCCGCACAAGCAGCGGAGCGUGUGGUUUAAUUCGACGCGACGCGAAGAAC